RNAcentral lists this long non-coding RNA (972 nucleotides) under Glycine max (soybean). Its description in RNAcentral is "long non-coding RNA (GMAX_LNC002292)". Lineage: Eukaryota; Viridiplantae; Streptophyta; Magnoliopsida; Fabales; Fabaceae. The record is from RNAcentral.
UGUAACUGAACAGUGAAAGUUGCAGUUUGUAUUUACUUUCAACUGAUAAAUGUCGAGGGGAAGAUCUGAUGGAUCACAAAAAAAGCGUUUAGUUGCUUCCAUCUGCGUUGUGGCAACUUUUCUUGGUUUCCUGUAUGUGUAUGGCGGGUCUAUCUUUGGUUCUCAAAAUAGUGGUUCAUCUACUCUUGAAUAUGGCAGAUCAUUGAAAAGACUUGGCUCAUCAUAUUUGGGUGCAGAAGAUGACACUGAUGGCAAGCAAGAUGAAUCUUCAUCAAGUUUCAGGCAGGGAGAUGGGGAGGACAAUAUUGUUCCAAAGAGUUUCCCUGUAUGUUUCUUAGUUAGCUUAGACAUAGGGCACAUUCACUCUUUCUUCACAGCUUCAUGCAACAUCCUUAUAAUUGCUAUAAUCUUUAAUAUUUUGUUUUUGCUAUUGCUAUUUGGUUUAGUUAGUUCUAUUAAUAAUAAUGAACUCUCUUAUAUACUGUUUGAUUUGAAUUCAGGUUGACAAACUCUUUAAGCUCAAGUAUAUUAGUUUGGUAAAUUAUACACAUUAAUGUGAAUUAUGUAAGAUGCUUAAAAUGUAUUAUACAUGGAAUAGUAAGAGUUGAAGAAAACUAAUUCCUUAUCCACAUACACAGUAAUAUCCAAAUCAAGCAACAAGUAUUGUUUGCACAAUGAAAAUAAAAUUCUUAGUUUCAUAGAUGAAUAAGUAGACACAAUCAAGUUCAUGGGCAUCAUCUAAAUAUGGCUAUACUUUUGGCUCAUCAGCAGUCUCAUGGUGUUUACAAUGUUUAUGUUUUUGAAGGUCUGUGAUGAUCGUCAUUCAGAGUUGAUUCCCUGCUUAGAUAGACAUCUUAUCUAUCAAAUGAGGAUGAAGCUGGACCUGUCUGUGAUGGAGCACUAUGAGAGACAUUGUCCUCCUGCAGAAAGGCGGUACAAUUGCUUGAUUCCUCCUCCAUCUGGAUACAAGGU